This 492-nucleotide ribosomal RNA is filed under the name uncultured bacterium. RNAcentral's name for it is "partial 16S ribosomal RNA". It matches the Rfam family "Bacterial small subunit ribosomal RNA", at positions 29 to 507 of the family's 1533-position model. The record is from RNAcentral.
AGUGAAUGCUGGCGGUAGGCCUAACACAUGCAAGUCGAACGGCAGCACAGUAAGAGCUUGCUCUUACGGGUGGCGAGUGGCGGACGGGUGAGGAAUACAUCGGAAUCUACUUUUUCGUGGGGGAUAACGUAGGGAAACUUACGCUAAUACCGCAUACGACCUACGGGUGAAGGCAGGGGAUCUUCGGACCUUGCGCGAUUGAAUGAGCCGAUGUCGGAUUAGCUAGUUGGCGGGGUAAAGGCCCACCAAGGCGACGAUCCGUAGCUGGUCUGAGAGGAUGAUCAGCCACACUGGAACUGAGACACGGUCCAGACUCCUACGGGAGGCAGCAGUGGGGAAUAUUGGACAAUGGGCGCAAGCCUGAUCCAGCCAUACCGCGUGGGUGAAGAAGGCCUUCGGGUUGUAAAGCCCUUUUGUUGGGAAAGAAAAGCAGCAGGUUAAUACCCCGCUGUUCUGACGGUACCCAAAGAAUAAGCACCGGCUAACUUCGUG